RNAcentral lists this ribosomal RNA (519 nucleotides) under Clavispora lusitaniae. RNAcentral describes it as "partial large subunit ribosomal RNA". It matches the Rfam family "Eukaryotic large subunit ribosomal RNA", at positions 78 to 666 of the family's 3401-position model. The record is from RNAcentral. Lineage: Eukaryota; Fungi; Ascomycota; Pichiomycetes; Serinales; Metschnikowiaceae.
CCCCAGUAACGGCGAGUGAAGCGGCAAAAGCUCAAAUUUGAAAUCCUGCGGGAAUUGUAAUUUGAAGGUUUCGUGGUCUGAGUCGGCCGCGCCCAAGUCCAUUGGAACAUGGCGCCUGGGAGGGUGAGAGCCCCGUAUGGCGCACGCCGACUCUUUGCACCGCGGCUCCGACGAGUCGAGUUGUUUGGGAAUGCAGCUCUAAGUGGGUGGUAAAUUCCAUCUAAAGCUAAAUAUUGGCGAGAGACCGAUAGCGAACAAGUACAGUGAUGGAAAGAUGAAAAGCACUUUGAAAAGAGAGUGAAACAGCACGUGAAAUUGUUGAAAGGGAAGGGCUUGCAAGCAGACACGGUUUUACCGGGCCAGCGUCGAAAAGGGGGGAGGAACAAGAACUCGAGAAUGUGGCGCGCACCUUCGGGUGCGCGUGUUAUAGCUCGUGUUGACGCCUCCAUCCUUUUUCGAGGCCUGCGAUUCUAGGACGCUGGCGUAAUGGUUGCAAGCCGCCCGUCUUGAAACACGGAC